Molecule: ribosomal RNA, 251 nt
Filed under: uncultured prokaryote
Description: partial 16S rRNA
Rfam family: Bacterial small subunit ribosomal RNA
Source: RNAcentral
ACGGAGGAUGCGAGCGUUAUCCGGAUUCAUUGGGUUUAAAGGGUGCGCAGGCGGAAGUAUAAGUCGGAGGUGAAAGUUUGCAGCUCAACAGCAAACUUGCCGUUGAUACUGUAUUUCUUGAGUGUAAAUGGGGUAGGCGGAAUGUGUUGUGUAGCGGUGAAAUGCUUAGAUAUGACACAGAACACCGAUUGCGAAGGCAGCUUACUAAGCUACAACUGACGCUGAGGCACGAAAGCGUGGGGAUCGAACAG